This 468-nucleotide ribosomal RNA is filed under the name uncultured bacterium. RNAcentral's name for it is "partial 16S ribosomal RNA". It matches the Rfam family "Bacterial small subunit ribosomal RNA", at positions 28 to 507 of the family's 1533-position model. The record is from RNAcentral.
GAUGAACGCUGGCGGCGUGCUUAACACAUGCCAGUCGAACGGUGAAGGCGGAGCUUGCUCUGCUGGAUCAGUGGCGAACGGGUGAGUAACACGUGAGCAAUCUGCCCCUGACUCUGGGAUAAGCGCUGGAAACGGCGUCUAAUACUGGAUACGAGCUGCGAAGGCAUCUUCAGCAGCUGGAAAGAAUUUCGGUCAGGGAUGAGCUCGCGGCCUAUCAGCUUGUUGGUGAGGUAAUGGCUCACCAAGGCGUCGACGGGUAGCCGGCCUGAGAGGGUGACCGGCCACACUGGGACUGAGACACGGCCCAGACUCCUACGGGAGGCAGCAGUGGGGAAUAUUGCACAAUGGGCGAAAGCCUGAUGCAGCAACGCCGCGUGAGGGACGACGGCCUUCGGGUUGUAAACCUCUUUUGGCAGGGAAGAAGCGAAAGUGACGGUACCUGCAGAAAAAGCGCCGGCUAACUACGUG